RNAcentral lists this small RNA (42 nucleotides) under Aurantiochytrium limacinum. RNAcentral's name for it is "partial Mitochondrion-encoded tmRNA". The record is from RNAcentral. Lineage: Eukaryota; Bigyra; Thraustochytrida; Thraustochytriidae.
GAAACAAAUAGGCAAGUUUGGGGAACAAGGCGAGUUGACAAU